Sapajus apella (tufted capuchin) is the source of this 371-nucleotide long non-coding RNA. RefSeq lists it as uncharacterized. The transcript is spliced from 4 exons. The record is from RefSeq and is a predicted model, not a curated record. NCBI's taxonomy places the organism in Eukaryota, Metazoa, Chordata, Mammalia, Primates, Cebidae.
GGCUUAAGGCAAAUAAGAAUGCUAUGGUGUCUCUAUUUUCCUCUCUCUUGUCUUUGAGGUUGAAGAAAAGAAGUGUGAAAUGAUGGACAUAUAAGAUGGACAAGCAGACACAACUCAGACCCUGAGGGAUCACGAAAAAAGAGCCACUUAAUCAGCAGACUAUAAUAUGAGUGAUAAAUAAAAUUAUUAGAGCUCCUUGGCACAUGACUGAAUUCAUAGCUAAUACAUUUGAUUUUACCUACUUGAGCAAAAUCUCCAGGGAAUAAUGGUCUGGAGGCCAGGAGUCUGAAAUGUAUCCCACUAAUUAAAAGCAAGUGAUUACCAGUUAAGAGAAUGAGAUUCCUACAUUUGGAACCAGUGGGUAAGAAGAA